GUAGGUGGCAAGCGUUGUCCGGAAUUAUUGGGCGUAAAGCGCGCGCAGGCGGUCCUUUAAGUCUGAUGUGAAAGCCCACGGCUCAACCGCGGAGGGUCAUUGGAAACUGGGGGACUUGAGUACAGAAGAGGAAAGCGGAAUUCCAAGUGUAGCGGUGAAAUGCGUAGAGAUUUGGAGGAACACCAGUGGCGAAGGCGGCUUUCUGGUCUGUAACUGACGCUGAGGCGCGAAAGCGUGGGGAGCAAACAGGAUUAGAUACCCUGGUAGUCCACGCCGUAAACGAUGAGUGCUAAGUGUUAGGGGGUUUCCCGCCCCCCUUAGUGCUGCAGCUAACGCAUUAAGCACUCCGCCUGGGGAGUACGGCCGCAAGGCUG
This 374-nucleotide ribosomal RNA is filed under the name uncultured organism. RNAcentral describes it as "partial 16S ribosomal RNA". It matches the Rfam family "Bacterial small subunit ribosomal RNA", at positions 527 to 896 of the family's 1533-position model. The record is from RNAcentral.